UGAAAAGGAAAAAAUGCCCUUAAAUUUUGCAAUUCUAGUCAACAGUUUUGUUUUUCUGUGUUUCUUUUCAGGCCUGCAUAUACAGUUUUUACUUUGCAUAUACAGUCUUUACUUUGUUAUAAUCAGAGUGGCUACCGGGAAUUGAACCGUGACCUCCAGGUUCAUGGGUCGACACUCAACCACUGAGCCACGCUUGCUGUGCAGGGUCUUGAUUUUUUAAAGACAAAAAUAAUUGUGUUCUUAGGUACUUUGAAUGUUAACCUUUGACAUUGGUUUUAUAUAUUUUAAUUCUGUUCUAGUUAUACAUUGACCAAUAAUUAACCUUCUUUGAGAGUUACCACCAGAUUUUAAUCAUAAAUAUUAAUCUGUUUUAUUCAGCUAUCUAUGUAACCUUGGCAAGUCACUUUACCUCUCCGGGCCUCACUUUCCUCAUCUAUCAGUGUUGCUUCAUUGUCUUCUGACAUUGGAUGUUGCUGUGGAGAAGUCUGAAGCCAGGCUGAUUUUCUUACCACUUUGUAGCAUUUUUUACAAUAGCCAAAAUAUGGAA
Myotis myotis is the source of this 547-nucleotide long non-coding RNA. RefSeq lists it as uncharacterized. The record is from RefSeq and is a predicted model, not a curated record. The transcript has 3 exons. NCBI's taxonomy places the organism in Eukaryota, Metazoa, Chordata, Mammalia, Chiroptera, Vespertilionidae.